Gasterosteus aculeatus aculeatus (three-spined stickleback) is the source of this 1490-nucleotide long non-coding RNA. The record is from Ensembl. NCBI's taxonomy places the organism in Eukaryota, Metazoa, Chordata, Actinopteri, Perciformes, Gasterosteidae.
CGCACACGCACCUCCACUCAAAGUCAAAACCAGGUCACUGUGGCUCCAUUAACUGGGAAGGAAAUCGUCGGGUGUCCCAUGUGAAGGAGGACCGUAGUUAAAGCCGCACCACGAGGAGCUGUGCAACGAGCUGGAGGAAGACGGGAAACUGGUUUAGUGACCAGUUCACAAAACACUGGGGUUUUGCUACAUGGUGUAUUACCAAUAGGAAUAUUUAGCUAAAUGCUCCAAUGGGCUCAGCAGCUCCACACGCCUUCCUGCUGCUUGCUCCAGGCUACAAACACACAGGAGCUCAAAGGCCAAACACCCCUUUUUCGUUCCGAUAUCAAUGAUGACCUGUAUGUGUGCACGGAGCUUUAACCAGGAAAGAUGGAGACCAUUCCUAAACCCAUUCCGGAUCUCUAGAUCUCCCAAGCAAUCAGUUUUAAAUGCAGACUAAUCUGCGUUUAUCAUCUACCAACCAUUUAAGCAGCACUGUGCUGCCAGGAGAAGGUGGUGGACCUGAGUGAUGUGACUAGCGGGCGUUUAGAUGCUGGGAGGCCUUCGAGCUGAGAAACAACACUUCUGUUGCCAACGUACACACGUUUUUCCCUGUAGAUGGUCUAUGCAGCAGUGAUGGAGAACAGUAGUUAUGAGAGAUGAUGAGAGGGAAACGGAAAGGUUGUGAAGACUUCUUUCCAAGAAAGCAGAAGAUCAAGGUUCCCAUGAACAAAGGAUUGAUCAUACGUCAGGCUAUUUUUAGCCGUCCAUGUCCAGACUUUUGGUCUCCGCUGGGAAUGUGUAAUUGAUGAAGGGGACACAGGCCUGAUACAACAUCUUCAGAUAAAUCAAAUCAUGUUCACGUUCCAAAAUAUGGACGUAUCUCAGCCAAAGCCAGCGGGCUUGGCGAAGGACUCUCACACACGCACAAGAUGUAAGAUAAGUUGUGGAGAAGACAAACCAGAAACAGCGUGGAGGAGAAUGUCUGGAAUUUAACCCACCGCCAGUAUCUGACCGUCCACGCCCCCGCGACCCGGGGGGCCUCCACCCGCUCACACAAACACAGGACUCUUGAGCUGAAUUAUGCGUCAAGGACAGUGCCGUGUCCCUGAGCGGAGACAGAGACCGGGGUGAUGUGGAGGAAGAGAAAGCCGAGUCGAGGGAGACGACGGGCGAGAUAGGCAGCAGGAGGACGAUACGGAGUCUGCUGCACCGCUCAGCUGUCCGAGGAGACUCACACCAGGACCAGUCCCCGGAGGAGGGAGGACCAGGAGUCCUGACCACUGAGGACUGAGGCCUUCCUGAGGAAACUGUCCACGAUUUGAGAACGAACACCAUCAUUUUCUGUACGGCAGCAUUACGGUUGCUAACCUCAGCCACAAGGAGCUACCGGUCGUACCACAGCGUGUGCGGUGGCCACAGAUAAAGUGGAGCGUGUAUAAAGGAAAGAGGACACGUUAAGGAUUAGCACCGCAGCAAAGACAGAUUCCCUUCAGACAUCAUAAGUGAAC